Molecule: ribosomal RNA, 504 nt
Filed under: Pseudomonas sp. Vr6
Lineage: Bacteria; Pseudomonadati; Pseudomonadota; Gammaproteobacteria; Pseudomonadales; Pseudomonadaceae
Description: bacterial SSU rRNA
Rfam family: Bacterial small subunit ribosomal RNA
Source: RNAcentral
GAGCGGAUGACGGGAGCUUGCUCCUUGAUUCAGCGGCGGACGGGUGAGUAAUGCCUAGGAAUCUGCCUGGUAGUGGGGGACAACGUUUCGAAAGGAACGCUAAUACCGCAUACGUCCUACGGGAGAAAGCAGGGGACCUUCGGGCCUUGCGCUAUCAGAUGAGCCUAGGUCGGAUUAGCUAGUUGGUGGGGUAAUGGCUCACCAAGGCGACGAUCCGUAACUGGUCUGAGAGGAUGAUCAGUCACACUGGAACUGAGACACGGUCCAGACUCCUACGGGAGGCAGCAGUGGGGAAUAUUGGACAAUGGGCGAAAGCCUGAUCCAGCCAUGCCGCGUGUGUGAAGAAGGUCUUCGGAUUGUAAAGCACUUUAAGUUGGGAGGAAGGGCAGUAAGCUAAUACCUUGCUGUUUUGACGUUACCGACAAAAUAAACACCGGCUAAGUCUGUGCCAUCCGCCAGGGGAAUACCCAUGGUGGGGAACGUUUAUCGGAAGUAAUGGGCGGG